Long non-coding RNA from Cynara cardunculus var. scolymus (artichoke), 458 nucleotides. RefSeq lists it as uncharacterized. The record is from RefSeq and is a predicted model, not a curated record. Lineage: Eukaryota; Viridiplantae; Streptophyta; Magnoliopsida; Asterales; Asteraceae. The transcript has 3 exons.
AAGUAAUCUGCCGAUCCGGUAGUCUUGGUUUCUUUAGAUUUUUACAUUUCACGCACUUUUAAAAUUUUUCAUGAUGUUCUGUUUGGAUGCUUCAUAUGGAUAUAGAAGUGUUGAACUACCACUUAUCAAAUCAUUGCAAGUUCUUCCCUCUAAUCGGUAUUCUAGAUAUUUGAUACGAGGAUCACUAGGCGGCCCAUCGGGAUGAUUUUGAAGUUGGUCUUGAAGAAUCUUGUCCAACCAAAGGAACUCCAUGCAAGUACACAAAGAAAACUUGAAGCUCAAGUAAAUGUGACUACACUUUGAAAGAGAGGGUGGAUGUUCAAACAAGUAUAAGAUUGAUACUCGAAUUUUGUUUGGCUGAUGGGUUUCUUAUGCAUCCCACAUCCCACUCCAUUGGUAACUGAUGGCUCCUGCAUGAUAGAUAGAAGCAUGGGCAUUCAUCGCCAUCUUCUUGAAAU